AGCUGGUGAUUGAAAAGUGACAGUGAUAACGAAACGGACGCAAUUUUGUUUUGAUGUUAAAUUCGAAGUUAUUUUAACCGAAAAUAAAUAAUAAAGUUGCUUAAAUUCAUACAAAUUGCUUAUCGAGAUUGAUUUUACAAACCUAUUACACGACAAUCGAAAUGACAUCAGAAAAGAACGCGCAAGUUGGCCAAGCACGGGAAGCCUUCCAAACGAUGUAUCAAAUAUCGCAGCUCCUUUGCACCGGUCUGGACGCUGAAACUCUGUCUAUAUGCAUUAGAUUAUGUGAGCUAGGUGUGGACCCUGAGGUCUUAGCCCAUGUCAUCAAGGAAAUCCGGAAAAUGGGAGAUAACGCUGCACAAAACAGACCCGUUAAUUUACAACCAUAAAAAUAACCUAACAGCUCCUUGAUUCAAAAUUGUUACAAGCAUACUUCCUAAUCUGCCCCAAUGAAACAUGUAAUAUUUUGGUAUGAUGCUAUUGUAACUAACAGUAUUUUUAACAUUUACUAUUGAAAAAGAUUGUAACAAUUUUUAUGUAAGAUAUAAUUCUCAGACCUUGUUUUCAAAUUUCUCAUAACUUGCACCAUGUUCUUGACUACUAUACAAGCCCCAAGAUGUUUUAAAAUAUUAAGUGAAAAAUUCUAAUAUGGAAACAACCCUUAUAGUUGUAUAGGUAUCACCAUAGAUGACUACCAUUUUGUUUAUUUAUUUGUUGUUCUCUUUUGCAUACCAGGUCAUUGUUUGUAAAUUACUGACACUAUUUUAGUGAGUAGUAUAAAUGAAUCUCGAUGGUUUACAAUUUUUAUAAGGACUAAAAAAAGGAAAAGAUAGUUCUGUUGGAAUGUUGUGUAUUGUUUACACACAUUCUGUUAUUGUAAGUAUGAAAUGAUGCCCCAAGAUUAUUGAAAAACUAAUAAAAAAACAAUGUCAUUGAUAAAUGUAAAUAAUUUACCAUUAAUGUAGUAGUUAGGAUUUAUUGCAUGAAAACAAACAAAAAAAUAAAACAAGUUAUCUAUAAAA
Long non-coding RNA from Trichoplusia ni (cabbage looper), 1022 nucleotides. RefSeq lists it as uncharacterized. Lineage: Eukaryota; Metazoa; Arthropoda; Insecta; Lepidoptera; Noctuidae. The transcript is spliced from 2 exons. The record is from RefSeq and is a predicted model, not a curated record.